AACUACGCCACUGCUCAGUGGCAGAGCAUCUGCUUGGCAAUCAGAAUGUCCCAGGUUCAAUUCCUUGCAACUGUAGUUA
RNAcentral lists this transfer RNA (79 nucleotides) under Sphaerodactylus townsendi. RNAcentral's name for it is "tRNA-Ala". The stretch from base 13 to 67 matches the Rfam family "tRNA", at positions 10 to 63 of the family's 71-position model. From Rfam's summary of the family: Transfer RNA (tRNA) molecules are approximately 80 nucleotides in length. Lineage: Eukaryota; Metazoa; Chordata; Lepidosauria; Squamata; Sphaerodactylidae. The record is from RNAcentral.